This is an RNA transcript of Camellia sinensis, 2488 nucleotides long. RefSeq lists it as uncharacterized. Lineage: Eukaryota; Viridiplantae; Streptophyta; Magnoliopsida; Ericales; Theaceae. The record is from RefSeq and is a predicted model, not a curated record.
AAAAAAAUCAAUUUAUUUAGCACAACCCUUGCUGCUUCCAUUAUUUCUCUCUCUCUCUCUCUCUCUCUACUACACUACCUUUCUCGGUGGGACUGCUUUCAUCGCUGAUCUGAUCAAUAUCUUGGCCAUGGUGUGAAAUUUGUGUGUACUUUUAUUGGUAGCUCUGCGAUAAUUCAACAUUGAGAUUGAGAUUUAAGAGAAUUAAUGGGUGAAUCAAUUGUAAAAGCACUGAAUGUCGAAAAUAAGAUGAGUGAGUCACUUGCCUCUGGCGCUACCCUGGACCCAUCGGUCUCAUUCGGUAGGUUUGAGAAUGAUUUGCUUUCUUGGGAGAAAUGGUCAUCUUUUUCGCCAAAUAAGUACUUGGAUGAAGUUGAGAAGUUUUCAACACCCGGAUCGGUAGCUCAGAAGAAGGCUUUCUUUGAAGCCCAUUACAAGAAAAUUGCUGCUCGGAAGGCUGAGCGACUAGAGCAGGAGAAGCAAAUGGAAACUGAUAGGUUGAUGACAGACGAUCAAAAUGGUGAAGGACAUGAAGGAAACACUUCUGGGACUGAUAUUGAACUCAGUGUAGCCAAUGGUCAGAGCUUUGAUGAAGGAGAUGAGCAAGUCAACAAUUCAAAUCAUAAUUGUGUCAUGAGUAGCGGCCUAUCUGAUGUGUCCAUUGAGAAUGCUACAAUCACUAUAGAGUGUCGAAGCUCAUCAGUCGAUGGAGCUAAGGAGGAAUCAGAUGGCAUACCAGAUAGCCUUGAAUUGAACAAAUCAGAAGAAGUUGUUUUGGUUCAAGAGAAUGUGAAAUUGCCACCUGUUUUGGUUCAAGAGGAUACUCCCCUAAAUGAACCUCAGGACAAGGUGCAAUUACGAAUGAAAUUGGUGGAGAGAGGCAACAGUGUUGGAAACAAAAAGAACGCAAAUUCAGAUGCAUCAAACAAACCUCAAAAGAUGACUCCCACAAAAAAAGAGAGGAAUUUGGCAGGAACAAAGAAGCCGGCAUCACCUUUACUAAAAAAAUCACCACAAAUUUCCACCCCAAAAACAUCAAAAGCAACAUCAGCGUCCACUGUAAUAUCUGCUUCUCAGACCUCAAUGAAAAAGGCAAAUGGAUCAUCAUUGCCAAGGAGCGGAAAACCUUAUGCAGGACAUAGCAAGAACGUAGCUCCUUCAUCCCUGCACAUGUCAUUUAGUUUGGGUCCUCCAAAUUCAGAAUCAGCUUCUCUUACCACAGCUCGAAAGUCUCUCAUUAUGGAGAAAAUGGCGGAUAAAGACAUUGUUAAGCGAGCAUUUAAGACAUUUCAAAACAAUUUCAACCAAGUAAGAUCUUCGGGUUAUGAAAGAUCUCCUGGACAAAAGGAGGUGUCAACCAUGAGGCCAGAGCAAAAGUUGUCGACUUCUUUGACUCCUCGAAAGGAGAAUGAAGGAAUAAAGAUGGCGGCAGAGAAGAUGGAUUCGAGAAGAGGUCAAUUGGGAAGAAGUUGGAAUUCUCCCUCAGCUAGGUCAUUAAAAGGAGCUGGUAUGGAUCAAAGGAAUGCAAAGCCUGCCCCAUCUUCUUUUAGCUUGAGAAGCGAUGAAAGAGCAGAAAAACGUAAAGAGUUUCUCAAGAAACUGGAGGAAAAAUCAUAUGCUAAAGAAGCAGAAAAAACACACCUUAGUUCAAAGACAAAGGAGGAAAAGGAGGCUGAGAUUAAAAAGCUAAGACAGAGCCUCAAUUUCAAAGCCACCCCAAUGCCAGGUUUUUAUCGGGGCAAAUGAUAUCAAAAAAUCAGUUAGAUAUGGAUAAAGGAACAACUCAGGUUUUCAGUAGAACUCAACUACUACUAGUACUAGAUAAGUUAUUGCUGCUGGUGGGAGAUGGAUGGAAAGGCCAAUUGUUGCUUUCUUUGCUGGCAAGGUUCUAAAAAGAGGUUGCGGUCGCUGUAAUGGUGGCGGUGACGUGGUUGCGGUUGCGGGGUGUAAAGGCCAUAGCGUAACGGUUGCAGUAACCGAAACCGAAAAUGCCAAGAAUGAACACCAUCAUCGCCGACCAGAAAUGCACAGGUGAAAGUUUCAUGCACAAUUAACUGAGUUAAAUGAAUUCAUGAAUCUUUGUCAAAGAUUGGAAUGUGGGCAGAUGAACAAGCGGACAGGACACGGGCACGUGUGAAGAAGAAAUUGAUUUAGUAAGAUCUCCAUGCCAGACUGUUAAUGCUUAAUCAAAAGCAACACCAUUGAUGAGUAGUAGGCUGUAUCUGUAUAGUUAGAGCAGACAACCCAUAUGGGCCGAGGCUCUUUGUUAUCUUAUAUUUGACAAACUCUUCCCCUCUUUGGCCUGCCUUCCCUUUGAAUUGCCUUUGAAAAGUAAGUGUCACUGUAAUGUUUUUGGAUUACGUAGAGAGGCGUCCAUCCAUACAGAUAACAUGAAUUCCCUGUAAGUUGCAUAUUCAUAUAUAUUAUUUGUUCUAGACAUUGUAUGGUUGCCCAUAUAUAUAUGUAUAAAACUCGCUUUUUGUCCUGCUCA